GACGAACGCUGGCGGCGUGCUUAACACAUGCAAGUCGAACGGAAAGGCCCUGCUUUUGUGGGGUGCUCGAGUGGCGAACGGGUGAGUAACACGUGAGUAACCUGCCCUUGACUUUGGGAUAACUUCAGGAAACUGGGGCUAAUACCGGAUAGGAGCUCCUGCUGCAUGGUGGGGGUUGGAAAGUUUCGGCGGUUGGGGAUGGACUCGCGGCUUAUCAGCUUGUUGGGGGGGUAGUGGCUUACCAAGGCUUUGACGGGUAGCCGGCCUGAGAGGGUGACCGGCCACAUUGGGACUGAGAUACGGCCCAGACGCCUACGGGAGGCAGCAGUGGGGAAUAUUGCACAAUGGGCGGAAGCCUGAUGCAGCAACGCCGCGUGCGGGAUGACGGCCUUCGGGUUGUAAACCGCUUUCGCCUGUGACGAAGCGUGAGUGACGGUAAUGGGUAAAGAAGCACCGGCUAACUACGUG
Molecule: ribosomal RNA, 468 nt
Filed under: uncultured bacterium
Lineage: Bacteria
Description: partial 16S ribosomal RNA
Rfam family: Bacterial small subunit ribosomal RNA
Source: RNAcentral